GUCCCAACCAUCAUGUAUUUCUGCCUGGUUUUCUUUUAGAAUGCAGCAGCUGGAGUCGACAUUAAAGAGCGCCGUUUCCCAUUUGCUGCGGAAGAUGUUUAAUUGGAAGUCUCUCCCUGCCCCUCGGGUAAAUUCUGCUAUGUCUCCUCCAGCCCUGGCCAAACUUCAAAUAUGAGAAAGUGCUGGAAUCACCUCAGAGCACUUGAGUACUUGCCCUGUGAAGAUAGCAAGGAAAUGGGAGAGGAUUUGAAGGAUUUGCUUAAGAGCGGCUUUGAAGACCUCCAACAGGGCGAGAGAGCCAGCUCAGCACAGAGCCAGCCUAGAGCGGGAGCAUUUUUCUAGUGAGUUCAUCUUUAAUUUGCAACUAUGGCACAAAGGAAGGAGCAGCUGUGGAGACCAGGGCAUUGGUGAAAUGAAAGCAUAUUGUUUCCCUCCACCUUCCCCACCCUGGGGAGGCCGGGGGUUCUCCAAGGCGGAUACUCUCUAAGUGAAAUCUAUGGAAUUUUGGAAACAAGUUAAAAGGCAUACUCGAGUGCAUUGCACAUGCUCACCGAGGAGC
This is a non-coding RNA of Macaca mulatta (Rhesus monkey), 559 nucleotides long. Lineage: Eukaryota; Metazoa; Chordata; Mammalia; Primates; Cercopithecidae. The record is from RefSeq and is a predicted model, not a curated record.